Molecule: ribosomal RNA, 544 nt
Filed under: uncultured bacterium
Lineage: Bacteria
Description: bacterial SSU rRNA
Rfam family: Bacterial small subunit ribosomal RNA
Source: RNAcentral
GGAAUUUUCCGCAAUGGGCGAAAGCCUGACGGAGCAAUACCGCGUGAGGGAUGACGGCCUGUGGGUUGUAAACCUCUUUUCUCAAGGAAGAAGUUCUGACGGUACUUGAGGAAUAAGCAUCGGCUAACUCUGUGCCUGCAGCCGCGGUAAUACAGAGGAUGCAAGCGUUAUCCGGAAUCACUGGGCAUAAAGCGUCUGUAGGUGGUUUGGUAAGUCUGCUGUUAAAGACUGGGGCUCAACCCCAGAAAAGCAGUGGAAACUGCCAGACUUGAGUGUGGUAGAGGUAGAGGGAAUUCCUAGUGUAGCGGUGAAAUGCGUAGAUAUUAGGAAGAACACCAAUGGCGAAGGCACUCUACUGGACCAUAACUGACACUGAGAGACGACAGCUAGGGGAGCAAAUGGGAUUAGAUACCCCAGUAGUCCUAGCCGUAAACGAUGGAUACUAGAUGUUGCACGUAUUAACCCGUGCAGUAUCGUAGCUAAGGCGUUAAGUAUCCCGCCUGGGAAGUACGCUCGCAAGAGUGAAACUCAAAUGAAUUGACGG